Molecule: ribosomal RNA, 855 nt
Filed under: uncultured archaeon
Lineage: Archaea
Description: bacterial SSU rRNA
Rfam family: Archaeal small subunit ribosomal RNA
Source: RNAcentral
UUCGAUUAAGCCAUGCGAGUCGAGAGUCCUCGGGACUCGGCGUACCGCUCAGUAACACGUGGGUAACCUGCCCUAUGCUGGGGAAUAACCUCGGGAAACUGAGAACAAUGCCCCAUAGCCCACUACGCCUGGAACGGUGAGUGGGUCAAAGCUCCGGCGGCAUAGGAUGGGCCUGCGCCGUAUCAGGUUGUAGGGGGUGUAAAGUACCCUCUAGCCAUCAACGCGUACAGGUGUUGGGAGACAUUGCCCGGAGAUGGAUUCUGAGACACGAAUCCAGACCCUACGGGGUGCAGCAGGCGCGAAAACUUGGCAAUGCGAGAAAUCGUGACCAGGGAACUCCAAGUGCGUAGGGUAAGACCUACGCUUUUCUUGACUCUUCAAAGGUCUUGGAAUAAGGGGUGGGUAAGGACGGUGCCAGCCGCCGCGGUAAUACCGGCGCCUCAAGUGGUAGUCGCUUUUAUUGGGCCUAAAACGUCCGUAGCCGGUCUGGUGCAUUCGUGGGUAAAUCAACCCGCUCAACGGGUUGAAUUCUGCGAGCACGGCCAGACUUGGGACCGGGAGAGGUGUGGGGUACUCUCAGGGUAGGGGUAAAAUCCUGUCAUCCUGAGAGGACCACCUGUUGCGAAGGCGCCACACUAGAACGGAUCCGACGGUCAGGGACGAAACCUAGGGGCACGAACCGGAUUAGAUACCCGGGUAGUCCUAGGUGUAAACGCUGUGGACUUGAUGUUGGGGGCGCUCCGAGCGCUCUCAGUGUCGAAGCGAAGGUGAUAAGUCCACUGCCUGGGGAGUACGGUCGCUAGGCUGAAACUUAAAGGAAUUGGCGGGGGAGCACUGCAACCUGAGGAUUGUGCG